GGAGUCUUGUUUUAUCACCCAGGCUGGAGUGCAGUUGCGCAAUCUCAGCUCACUGCAGCCUCUGUCUCCCGGGUUCAAGCAGUCCUCCCAGAAUGGAAGAGCAACCUAUUUGCUCCUACUUGGAAAAGAUUCUUUCUAAAAAUAUGGAACUGAUGGAAAAGAAACUUAUGGAUUACAUUGAUCAGCGAAUACAUGAACUCCAGGAGCACAUUGAUGAUAAGAUUGCUUUGUUAAUGGAUUUGCUGCAAAAUCCUAACUCCCCGCCCACUGGGAUACCUCUAAGACAUUAUGACUCUGGAGAAAGACUUUCAAAUGGAGAAAGAUAAGCUCUCAACAUAAACAGU
This 344-nucleotide small RNA is filed under the name Pan troglodytes (chimpanzee). RNAcentral's name for it is "processed transcript". Lineage: Eukaryota; Metazoa; Chordata; Mammalia; Primates; Hominidae. The record is from RNAcentral.